Molecule: long non-coding RNA, 1085 nt
Organism: Mesocricetus auratus (golden hamster)
Lineage: Eukaryota; Metazoa; Chordata; Mammalia; Rodentia; Cricetidae
Exons: 7
Source: RefSeq, a predicted model, not a curated record
AUGAGCUGUGUCCCCGGGAACACAGAGUGUGGAGCCCUGCAAGUGUCCACAUCCCUGCCCCUUCAGGUCCCUCAGCCAGGUUCUCUGGCCUAGGGUCUGCUCGUCUUCUCGUUCCGAGUGGAAAGCUACUCUCUAGAAUUCUCCAGGCAAGUUUUUCAGAAAAUAUACCUUAGCGAGCACACUCAGACUGAAGAUGCUCGCUGACCCGGGAGGUCACUGUUAGGAGCAAGGUUCGCCAGGAGCUUACCGAACCCGGAGCUCGCUUGCCGCGGCAGCCAUUACUGCAGGAUCCUUCCCGUUUUCGGCAAAGCCUUGACUCCUGGGCAAGAGGAGCCUUGGUCGCUGCCUGCUAGUCUAGGGGCAUUGAAAUAUCCCGGAUCAAACUAUGUCCCUGUGUUUGCCGAAAAGAAAUGGAUGCCUGGAAGAAGCUUCACACUGGAGCGAUCACCUCUGCCCCUAGUGGAUCCUGCUCUGCCUGUGUUGCUGCUGUCCUUUGGAGAUGAACAACAAUACGGAUGUAUUCUAAUUGUUCGUGAUCUUUCCGCGAUCCUGGACAAUGGAGAGUGUUGCUACUUAGUAUAUUCAGCAGGAGCUCAGUACAACCAGCGUCGUGGGCUGAAUGUAUACUCGAUGACACAAAGCCUUUGUGGUUGAUGAUCGCUACUUGUUCUCAGUUUUGAUUUUUUUUGAGACCAGAUUUCUGUGUAUAACAGCUCCAACAGUGCUGGAACUUGCUUUGUAGACAAGGCUCGAAUUCACAGAGAUCUGAAAGGAAGAAUCGAGAUACUAUCCAGACUGCUUCUGAUUAUAUUGAUGCCGCUGCUCACCAAAUAAAUGAACGGAUAUGCUGAUACUCUCAGUUUGUGUCUACAGAAGGACUAUCUGAACAGGCCAUCCCAUUCAAGAUUCCCUUUAGCAGACUCUAAUAGACUAUAUGCUAGGCCAUACAAUUCCUAAUUAGCAAAGGUGAUAAGACAGGAGUCUCACUGUAAUUAACACUAAACUUUCAUUUUCCUCCCCUCCUCCCUCCCUAUUUCUCUUCAAGGCAAAAUCUUGCUCUGUUGUAGCCCAGCAUGCCCCCCACC